This is a long non-coding RNA of Drosophila yakuba, 1875 nucleotides long. RefSeq lists it as uncharacterized. NCBI's taxonomy places the organism in Eukaryota, Metazoa, Arthropoda, Insecta, Diptera, Drosophilidae. The transcript has 2 exons. The record is from RefSeq and is a predicted model, not a curated record.
ACAUUUUUACUUAAGCUGUGAAGCUGUGAAUGCAUUUGCAUUCCCAAUUAACAAUUCUUAUGCACAGAUUUUUAAAUGGUGACAAGAAGAAAGUUAAAACUGAUCACCCUUCCACUUCGAUUAGUCCUCUACGCAUUCCUUUUGAUUAUUUUUUAUUUUUGCAUAGUUUGCAUGCUGAUGAGCUGAUGAGAAGUGCGAAUGGAAGGGGCAUUCACGACAACGAUGGCUGUGAACUUUUUAAUUUAAUUAAUAGACGCUGCCACACCAACAAGAACAACAAAGAACGAAAACGAGACAGACGCCCUGGAAAAACAACAAUAUUAACGAGUGAAAAGCCAAGGCAUUGAGUUACACAAAGUUAAGGGGAAGUCGGCAAAAUCAGGCGGAGGUGGAGUAAUCAACUAAGGUGGGCGCAGGUUGGCAUGCCGACGCUCUUAAAACUUAUUAUUAAUUAAGAAAAAUUUUUGCAGGCGGGGGCGUGUGGUAAUUUAUGGAUUUGAAGGAUUUAAGCUGCCCAGUUUUUGGUGGCACACCGCAGAAAUGUCAAACGCUGAACCAUUCCAUUCGCUGUUACACAGAGCAAAACACUAUUCAAUAAAGUAAAAUAUUUAUUGAUUCGAAUUAUAUAGCCUUAUUAGCUUAAAAUCAUAACUUUUUAAUUUGUAUUUACAUUUAGCAUAUGUUUUUCUCUGUGUUUCUUAAGUUGCUGCUCCCGUUUUGCUAUCUUUCCACACAAUUUUCCUCACUACACAAUUAACUUUAAUGACUGCAAAAAGAGCCAUGUACCGAGGCACUUAAGUUGGGAAUUUUUGGUAGGGGACCGCAGACAGCAGACAGUUGAAAUUGUAAAAUUGUUUGUGGCAUUAAGUGCGGUUAAGUGGUUUUCCCAAGGUGUCCUGUCGUCUCCGUUCAAGUUGAUUCUUUUUGACAGAAAUUGAAAUUUACAAGCAGGCUUUCAUACCUCGUCGUCUAUUCGCACAUCAAAGUGAGUUUAAGUCAGUCAGUUGCCAGCAACCGAUUUAUGCUUUUGUCAGCUGCAUUUGAAUCGAAGUUUGGUUGGCAGCGCCCGAGGCACCGAAAAAGGACACUUUCGGAACGAAGCGAGGGUAAUGCGGUGUUAGACAACCAGACAAUCAGACAGGCCCGUCGGCUAAAUAAGAAGGAUUUACCAGGAGGGAGGACCUGGAGGGAGGACCUGGCGACACAACAACUGGCAGAAGGUUCAAAUACCCGACAUCGAAAAGGCGCAAAAUACACACAUUAUCCUUACAUUGUUGUUGAACGUCUGCAGAUACCCUGUAAAGUUGGAAAGCUUACUAGCUAUGGUUUAUAUUACCAGAGCUAAACUUGUAACCAAACUAUAUGAUAGCUUUCUUUUUAGUUCCUUAAAAGGGUAUUUGCUGUUCGACUUGAAGAACAUCCUUGAGGCACAAGAACUUCAUCCAAUUCCUGUCAAUUGAACACGCAACAUUUGGGGUCUGAAAAGGAUAUCCAUUGGCAAAUAAAAUAUUUAAGCCAAACAUUGCGCCAGGACAUGGCCAAAUUGAAGGCUCAAUAAGGCCAACUUUUCUACACUUGCCAACUCCAUCUCCUUUCGCCUGAAAUUUCCCCCAUCCUCGCCACUAAAUCGUUUUGCAAAAAUUGUCAGAGGCCUGUGGCAAACUUAUCCUUUGCCAUAACAAAUAAGAAACGAGGAACAACGAAGCCUUUUUGACAAAAAUCAAUAAAUAUUUGAGGAGCCGGAAGGCAGAGCACAAUCCUCUAGAUUGCAUUUAAUUUAAAACUCAUAAAUACGAAAUGCGCUCUCGCCGGCUUGAUAAUCAUAAUAAAACUGUGAAUAAAUUGCACAAGAUAUUGCUGUGUAGCGAAAAACAA